GGUCAGGCCCAGGGGAUUGGGUGUCAGAGUUUGGGCACCUGGAGACCAGCCCCCAGACUGCCAGCACUGCCUAUAAUUAGCUGGGCUCGGUCAGGGACGGGGCCCUGGGGGCGCGUUCCGUCCUGCCACGCUGUCAGGAGUAGAGCAGGCUCAAGUGAGAGGGCAAGCGGAACGCUGGUGUCUUCGGAGGGUGACUACUGGCAUGGUGGCUAGACGGGCGGGGUACAGUUCUGGCAAUCCAGUGAGCUUGGGCCAUGAGUGUCUCGGACUCGGCACAUCGUCCCUCAGACCCUGGACAAGUCUCUCUUCCGGUCCGGAAGGACGGCCUUGGCCUCCCUUUGGCCACCAGGAGAACCCCCUCCUGGUCUCCGUCCCCGGACGAGGAUCAAGGUUUGCCCCCCUUUCCUCUGGAAGAGCCUGGCCCCAGGCCCAUGGCCCCGGGGAGCCUUCCCUCUCCAGCCUUGUCCCUAGAGAAAGAAGAGGAGGAGGAAGAGGAUGAGGACGGAGAAGACGCGGAGGAGCCCGAGGAGCUGCGCAGCGAGGCGCAUCCCAGCCAGUUUUUCGCGGAGGCACAGCGGCUGCGAGAGCAGAGGUUGUUGCUGGAUGAAGACGUGUCAGUCGGGGGGCGAGUAUACGGGGUGCAUCGGGUGAUCUUGGCCGCAGUCAGCAGCCUCUUCAGAGGCAGGCUGCUGGGCAGCAGAGGUCUGCAACGCCCCCUCAGCCUGGAUGUAACCCCCGGGGCCUGGGAGGCCGUGCUGACCUUUGCCUAUGAGGGGGUGCUGGGACCCGCCCCACGGGGGGAUGUGCUGGUGGCGGCUGAAGCCCUGGGAGCACCCCGGGUGAAGGCUGCGGCCCAGUGGGGACGCGAGGGGGCUGGAAGCACCCGGGAAGAUGAAAAGCAGCCCAGCCAGGCAGAGGAACUGAGAGAGAACCUGCGCACCAUGGAAUUCCUGUACCAAGAAGGCAUCGGGUGUGACCUGGAGCUGGAGGCAGGCGGCUGCCGGCUGCGGGUGCACCGAGCAGCCCUCGCCUGUGGCAGUGAGUUCUUUGGGGCCAUGCUCCUGAGCGGGAUGAGGGAAUCCCAGGGCACAGAGGUGUCUCUGCAUACCAUCUCUGCCCAGGACCUGCGACUCCUUGUCUCCUUUGCCUACUCUGGGGUUGUGCGGGCAAGGUGGCCAGGACUGCUGAGAGCCGCCCAGGCUGCUCUGCAGUACCAGAGCUCUUCCUGCCUGGCUCUGUGCCAGAGAGCCUUGGCACAAGGCCUCAACCCUGCCCGUUGCCUGGCCCUGAUCCUCAUGGCUGAAGCCCCUGGGCUGGAGAGGCUCUGGAGCAAAGCCCGUCACUACCUCCUCACCCACCUACCUGCUGUGGCUUUGUGUUCCGCUUUCCCAUCUUUACCGGUCGCCUGCCUGGCUGAGCUCCUGGACAGCGAUGAGCUACACUUGCAGGAGGAGUUCGAGGCCUUUGCGGCUGCACGGCGUUGGCUAGCUGCCAACCCUGACACCCAGGAGUCAGAGGCCAAGGCCCUGCUUCGAUGCGUCCGCUUUGGCCGUAUGUCCACCAGGGAGCUGCGGAGGGUACGCGCGGCUGGGCUGCCUCCACCCUUGAGCCCGGACUUGCUGCGUCAGCUGAUGGUGGAGGCUGAGGUUCCAGGACAAGGCAGAUGGAGGGAGCCUGACCAAGCACUAGUAGUGAUUGGCGGGGACGGGCUCAGAUCAGACAUGGCCAUGAGACAGCCGUCCCGAGGAGUGUGGUGGGCCCGGGCCUUUCGCUGUGGCGUAGGACUGGUUCGAACUGUGGAGUGGGGACGGCUGCCUCCCCUGCCUGCCCCCGGGCGCUUUCGGCACGGGGCGGCGAGCCUAGCUGGAAGUGAGCUCUACGUGUGUGGCGGACAGGAUUUCUACGGCCACUCGAACACCCUGGCUUCGACUCUCAGGUGGGACCCCAGGCAAGAGGACUGGGAGGAGAUGGCACCUUUGUGCCAGGCUCGGAGCUUUUUCCCCCUGGUGGCACUGGAUGGACUGCUUUAUGCCCUGGGUGGACGAGACAGUGGUGUUGCCCUCAGCUCUGUGGAGACUUAUAGCCCCAAGCUCAAUAUCUGGAGGCCGGCACCUGCUCUUCCAGCACCACGCUUUGCCCACGCAGCUGCUGUUUUGGAGGGCCAGCUGUACGUGAGCGGCGGCUGCAGCGGGACUGGCCAGUACCUGGCCUCGUUGCUGCACUAUGACCCCAAGCUUGAGAAGCCGGGGACACUUCUGAGCCCUAUGGGGCACAGUGCUUUACAACUCACACAGCGGUUUUGUAUAUAUGAUCUGCAUUGAUGAAAAGCUGGCUCUGGAAUUCCUAGGGAAAGAGCAUUGGGGAAGGAGAGGCAGCUGAAUACCUAGUUAUUAAUUAUCUACUGUGUGCCGGGUACGAUGUGAGGCACUAAGGAUCCCAAGGAACAUAGUUGAAAAUGAGGAGGGGUAAGUAGGCUAUAUAAGAGAACAGAGAAGAAAGAUUGAAGAAGACAGGGAAGAAGGAAAUCGGAAGCACUGAGAAACUACGAGGAUUGAGUCUUUAGGGUGAAGUUCUGUGAACAUGCUCUGUGAUUUGUAUGCAAGGACAGGCUUAAAUAAAGGUUUCACCAUGACUGAAUCAUUCUUGUCUAAGUUUCUCUAUUGUAAAAAACAUUCAAUAUCCCUUGUAAUUUGGUUUCUGUCUCCACCACACUACUGAAACCAUCCUCCUUCAUUGUCACCAUGACCUACUUCUCACCAAAUCAAACAAUCUAAGGCCACCCUCAUUUUCCUUCAUCUUUCUGCAGGAAUUGGCUGGCUUGAAAAUUGGCUUUUACCCUAAAAAUUUCUCCUUCCCUGGCUCCAGAGAUAGCACACUCUCCUACUCUUCUUACUUCUCCAAUCCAAAGAGGUGGCUGAAAGUCAAAUCAUAGUGUCCAAGAGGGGGUGGUGCCAUCCCAGGCAGAGCUGACAGCCAAAGGUCCAAAAUUAUGUAGAUGGGGGAGUCAGCUGCAGAAGGCUCUAGCUUUCAUUACUUUUUUUGUUUGUUUGUUUUUUGUUUUUGGCCGCACCCCAUGGCAUGCGAAACCCGUGCCCCCUGCAGGGGAAGCACG
Molecule: non-coding RNA, 3112 nt
Organism: Kogia breviceps (pygmy sperm whale)
Lineage: Eukaryota; Metazoa; Chordata; Mammalia; Artiodactyla; Physeteridae
Source: RefSeq, a predicted model, not a curated record